Molecule: ribosomal RNA, 164 nt
Filed under: uncultured bacterium
Lineage: Bacteria
Description: partial 16S ribosomal RNA
Rfam family: Bacterial small subunit ribosomal RNA
Source: RNAcentral
UAGGGAAUCUUCGGCAAUGGACGAAAGUCUGACCGAGCAACGCCGCGUGAGUGAAGAAGGUUUUCGGAUCGUAAAACUCUGUUGUUAGAGAAGAACAAGGGUGAGAGUAACUGUUCACCCCUUGACGGUAUCUAACCAGAAAGUCACGGCUAACUACGUGCCAA